AGAGUUUGAUCCUGGCUCAGAUUGAACGCUGGCGGCGUGCUUUACACAUGCAAGUCGAACGGUAACAGGCCGCAAGGUGCUGACSAGUGGCGAACGGGUGAGUAAUGCAUCGGAACGUGCCCAGUCGUGGGGGAUAACGCAGCGAAAGCUGUGCUAAUACCGCAUACGAUCUAUGGAUGAAAGCGGGGGACCGUAAGGCCUCGCGCGAUUGGAGCGGCCGAUGUCAGAUUAGCUAGUUGGUGGGGUAAAGGCCCACCAAGGCGACGAUCUGUAGCUGGUCUGAGAGGACGACCAGCCACACUGGGACUGAGACACGGCCCAGACUCCUACGGGAGGCAGCAGUGGGGAAUUUUGGACAAUGGGCGCAAGCCUGAUCCAGCAAUGCCGCGUGCAGGAAGAAGGCCUUCGGGUUGUAAACUGCUUUUGUACGGAACGAAACGGUCUGGGUUAAUACCUCGGGCUAAUGACGGUACCGUAAGAAUAAGCACCGGCUAACUACGUGCCAGCAGCCGCGGUAA
Molecule: ribosomal RNA, 518 nt
Filed under: uncultured bacterium
Lineage: Bacteria
Description: bacterial SSU rRNA
Rfam family: Bacterial small subunit ribosomal RNA
Source: RNAcentral